Molecule: long non-coding RNA, 1801 nt
Organism: Esox lucius (northern pike)
Lineage: Eukaryota; Metazoa; Chordata; Actinopteri; Esociformes; Esocidae
Source: Ensembl
GCCUGGCGUCUUGCUGGACAAAGUGUCAAAAAUGUCUCUUUUAGACUUUUAAUGACAGAAGUCGGAAUACACAUUUUUGACGAGGAGGCAAAAUAAAUCCAGGGACGCGGCACUACUGUGCCAUUAAUGUCACGGUACCGGUGCUGCAACGGUACUAUGGAGGGGAGGACACCCGCCCGGACUUCAGGCUGGGCACAGACGCCAUGCAGCACCUGAUGGUGGUCCUGAAGACUGACAGGCAGCACGGGUGGGGGCCGACCCUGGAGACACUCGUGUUCCUGUUCUGGCUGGCCACCGGUUCAGCCUACCGAGUUGUCUCCAGGGUCUUCUGUAUGCCUCUACCUACGGUGCACAGGGUGGUCCACAGGAUGGUGGAUGAGGUCGUAGCUGUGCUCCCUCAGUUCGUCAACUUCCCCCGCACACAGGAGGAGCUCCAGGUGGUCAACUUCCCCUGCACACAGGAGGAGCUCCAGGUGGUCAACUUCCCCUGCACACAGGAGGAGCUCCAGGUGGUCAACUUCCCCUGCACACAGGAGGAGCUCCAGGUGGUCAACUUCCCCUGCACACAGGAGGAGCUCCAGGUGGUCGGGGAUGGCUUUGCCCGGCUGGCUCAUCACCGGGCAUUUGAGAAGGCAGCAGGGGCAGUGGAUGGUUGCCACAUCCGUAUUAAAUGUCCUGGCGGCCCUGAUGGUCACGACUACAACAACAGGAAACUCUUCCCCUCUGUGGUGCUCCAGGCAGUCUGUGACCAUCAUUGUGGGUUACCCAGGUGUGCAUGAUGCACGCAUCCUAAAGAACAGCCCCAUCUACACUAGGGGGACUUACCCUCCACCUGGGUAUCCCUUAUCACACCAUAUAAGAGGCCAGUGAGAGGCAUGGCAGAGCAACGGUUUAAUUAUCAUCAUUCCAGAGGUCGCACAAUCAUUGAGCGUUCCUUUGGAAUGAUGAAAACCCGCUUCAGGUGCAUCUUUUUAGAAGCACUUCCAGUACAUCCAGUGUUUGUCCCUAAGGUAAUAAAUCAUUGCAAUAUUUCUGUAAUAAAUGUCUUAAUCAAAUCAUAAUAUUCUACUCAAAAACAACAGUUAAACGUUUCAACUGCUAAAGUCACACUACAUCUGUUUUUUUCAUAUCUCAACAAAGUCUUGUCUUCUUUUGCUCAACAAAGUCUUGUCUUCUUUUGCUCUUCCUUGUGCACAGGUGGUGACGGCGUGUGUAAUUUUACACAACAUUUGUGUUGGUGUUGGGGAUGAGCUGGAAGAGGCUGUGGAGGACAAUGACAACCAGCUACCUCUGGAGCGCGAUGGUGGGGAGAGCCGGAGUGGAGCUGCUUGGCGAGCCGCGCUGACCAACGAGGUGUCUGCAUUUCAUGAGGCACCUCUGGAUCUCGAAUAUUUUUCCCAGGCUCUGGUUUGUGACUCAGAUGCUGAGGGAAACACACAGACUCGGGGAGGCAGUUGAAGUGUUUAUUCACACAACCGGAAUCAAACAGAGGGAUUGUUCAGGGUUGAGUGGUUCCAGGAGGCGAGCGGCGAGGAGAGUUGAAUGGCGAAGUGAGCAGGCAGCAGGCGAGCAGGCAGCAAUUGAAGCUGUGUGGCAAGGUGAGCAGGCAGCAGGUGAACAGGCAGCAAUGUCAGAGCGGAAUCUGGACAGAGAAGAUGCUGUUUAACAAGGGCACACUGAAAUUGUCUAGAACGCAUAGGGACUAGGAUGUCUGAGGGUUUGCAGAACCAAGUUACCACAGGUAAUGUUGUAACGGAGUGGCGCUGAAGAGGUGAACAGCCCAGGUUGAUAUCUGCUGGUU